ACGGAAGGCAGCAGUGAGGAAUAUUGGUCAAUGGGCGGAAGCCUGAACCAGCCAAGUCGCGUGAAGGAUGAAGGUAUUAUGUAUUGUAAACUUCUUUAGACGUAGAGAAAUAAGCGGGUCGUGACCCGUGAUGCUAGUAUACGUAGAAUAAGGAUCGGCUAACUCCGUGCCAGCAGCCGCGGUAAUACGGAGGAUACGAGCGUUAUCCGGAUUUAUUGGGUUUAAAGGGUGCGUAGGCGGAUGAGUAAGUCAGUGGUGAAAUAUCCUAGCUCAACUAGGAGGCUGCCAUUGAUACUGCUUAUCUAGAGUGCGAACGGCGCCGGCGGAAUGUGUCAUGUAGCGGUGAAAUGCUUAGAGAUAACACAGAACACCGAUCGCGAAGGCAGCUGGCGAGCAUGACACUGACGCUGAGGCACGAAGGUGCGGGGAUCAAACAGGAUUAGAUACCCUGGUA
RNAcentral lists this ribosomal RNA (454 nucleotides) under uncultured Paludibacter sp. RNAcentral's name for it is "partial 16S ribosomal RNA". It matches the Rfam family "Bacterial small subunit ribosomal RNA", at positions 341 to 792 of the family's 1533-position model. The record is from RNAcentral. Lineage: Bacteria; Pseudomonadati; Bacteroidota; Bacteroidia; Bacteroidales; Paludibacteraceae.